AGUGAACGCUGGCGGUAGGCCUAACACAUGCAAGUCGAACGGCAGCACAGUAGAAGUUUCCUCCUACGUGGGGCGUGUCGGGCGCGUGAGGGAUACAUCUCGGUCUGUCCAUUUUUGUGGGAUAACGUGUGGAAACUUAUACUAUUAUACCGUACGCCCUUCACGUGUGAGAGCAGGGUCUCAUCGCCUCUUGCGCGUUUGUGUGCCCCGAUGUCGGAUUAGAUAGUUGGCGGGGUAAAGGCCCACCAAGGCGACGAUCCGUAGCUGGUCUGAGAGGAUGAUCAGCCACACUGGAACUGAGACACGGUCCAGACUCCUACGGGAGGCAGCAGUGGGGAAUAUUGGACAAUGGGCGCAAGCCUGAUCCAGCCAUACCGCGUGGGUGAAGAAGGCCUUCGGGUUGUAAAGCCCUUUUGUUGGGAAAGAAAAGCAGCAGGUUAAUACCCUGGGGGGAUGACGGUACCCAAAGAAUAAGCACCGGCUAACUUCGUG
This 492-nucleotide ribosomal RNA is filed under the name uncultured bacterium. RNAcentral's name for it is "partial 16S ribosomal RNA". It matches the Rfam family "Bacterial small subunit ribosomal RNA", at positions 29 to 507 of the family's 1533-position model. The record is from RNAcentral.